Molecule: transfer RNA, 69 nt
Filed under: Nomia chalybeata
Lineage: Eukaryota; Metazoa; Arthropoda; Insecta; Hymenoptera; Halictidae
Description: tRNA-Cys
Source: RNAcentral
AAUUUUAUAUUUUAAUAAAAAUAUUAAAUUGCAAAUUUAAAGAUAUUAAUUUGAAAUUAAUUAAAAUUU